AGGCUAACCGUGCAGAUAUAGUGGCAUUGGAUGCAGGAGAGGUUUAUUCUGCUGUGAAGCAGUUUGAUCUUGUUGCUAUUGCUAAGGAGGUCUACAAUGAUGGUAGCUGCAUCCUAUCUGUUGCUGUGGUAACAAACAGGAGCUUAGACAUACGGUCACUGCAAGGCCUCAGGAGCUGUCAUAGCGGGGCUCGUUGGACCACAGGAUGGAGCCUCCCACUCGGGUUUCUACUAUCCAGGAACUAUCUAAGCUGGAGCAAAGAGAAUCCUCUCAGCCUGGAUGUUGGUUCUUUUUUCAGAGCUAGCUGUGUUCCUGGAGCUGCCACUAUGGCGCCACAUCUG
Long non-coding RNA from Cyprinodon variegatus (sheepshead minnow), 341 nucleotides. RefSeq lists it as uncharacterized. The record is from RefSeq and is a predicted model, not a curated record. NCBI's taxonomy places the organism in Eukaryota, Metazoa, Chordata, Actinopteri, Cyprinodontiformes, Cyprinodontidae. The transcript is spliced from 3 exons.